AUUGAACGCUGGCGGCAGGCCUAACACAUGCAAGUCGAACGAGUGGCGGACGGGUGAGUAAUGUCUGGGAAACUGCCCGAUGGAGGGGGAUAACUACUGGAAACGGUAGCUAAUACCGCAUACAGUGGGAUGUGACAGACUGGGAUUAGCUAGUAGGUGGGGUAAGGGCGCACCUAGGCGACGAUCCCUAGCUGGUCUGAGAGGAUGACCAGCCACACUGGAACUGAGACCCGGUCCAGACUCCUACGGGAGGCAGCAGUGGGGAAUAUUGCACAAUGGGCGCAAGCCUGAUGCAGCCAUGCCGCGUGUAUGAAGAAGGCCUUCGGGUUGUAAAGUACUUUCAGCGAGGAGGCGUUACUCGCAGAAGAAGCACCGGCUAACUCCGUGCCAGCCGCCGCGGUAAUUC
This 406-nucleotide ribosomal RNA is filed under the name uncultured bacterium. Its description in RNAcentral is "partial 16S ribosomal RNA". It matches the Rfam family "Bacterial small subunit ribosomal RNA", at positions 30 to 526 of the family's 1533-position model. The record is from RNAcentral.